GGAACAGAUAAUGAAGCUACAGCUGAAAGCCUGCCCCAGUGAUUUUCUUCAGAUUCCCUGAAAGGUGGCAGGCGUAGGGGAUUCAUGCUGGGAAAGGCCAUCAGGGGCUGGACAGGACCGGGUGCUCCCCGUCACUUCUAUAUCAAAGGGUGUCUGGGUGCUACUUCUGAAUGAACGUCCAGUAGUCCUGCCUUAUCCUCAGUGUCACUUCCCGAGGUUUCAGUGACGGGUGUUCCGCUGAGUCCAGAGCAGGCAACCGGUCAGAAGGUCAGCAGUAGCCUAACCCUAGGCCUACCUCUCGCCCCUCACUUCCUCUCGUCACUAGGCAUUUUAUCAUCUCACAUCCUCACAAGGAAAAGGCACCUCACACAGCAGCCAACGAGACAGCUGGCAGCUCGGGCUCCACCACGGGGGUGCUGGCUGGAAGCAAACGAGCAGGGAGGAAGGGCGUCCUGGGAAAGGGCUGGACUCCAGAGCAGCACAGACAGCCUCUGUCAGCAGUUCCAGAGCCCAGAGGCCCAGAAGGAACCCCUGGGCUCACUCGGGUCCUCAUCCACUUGUAGUCACCCUGGAGUUUCUGGAGGACGAGAGUGGGACCGGAUACGGUUUAUUCCCUGCAUUCAGGAGAGGUUGGACCGACCAGGAAGCACACACAUACUCAGGACUCUACCACCUUCCCGAAUCUAGAAAUCUAAUGAAGAAGCAUUAAUCGCAUGCCCACCACAUUCCAUGUACUGCACGCUGAACGUACACAGCUAAACGCCACGAGGCUGGAGUGGGGAGGUUACUUCAUGAGCUAGAUGUGGGAAAUGGCAGAUGCAGGAGAUCCAGACAAGGAUGGAGAGCCCCAUGGAAACAUGAGAGUCCCUGAAGCCAGGAACCAGCUUAGAUGCCACCUCUUCCCAGAGCACGCCGAUCCGAAGUGACCUGGCCUUCCCUCGACCUCGGGCAGCUCUACGCUCUUCCCCCGACACGGCUCCAAUCCCCUGCAUCCCUGAUGCGGGGGGGCUCAUUGCCCCACUAGCCAUACUGCACGUGAAUGCCACAUAUUCUGCCUACAUUCCUGGCUUCAUCGUUCCCCAAAUUCAUCUUUCAGAGAGCCCUAAAAAGAACACAAUGAACUUUCCGGCACACCUCCUGGCCAGCGAAUCUGAACCUCACCUUAUGAAAAAGGUCCUAAAUGGGAAGAGGCUCCUUGAAGUACUGUCACACUCCCCCCCGUGGGCUGUGAUGGCUGGGUACGGUGGCACCUAUCUAAGAACAUGUGAGGGGUGCCCGGGUGGCUCAGUCGGUCAAGCAUUGCCUUCGGCUCAGGUCAUGAUGUUGGGGUCCUGGGAUCGAGUCCUGCAUCGGGCUCCCUGCUCAGCGGGAAGCUUGCUUCUCCCUCGCCAUCUGCCCCUCCCCCUCCACUUGUGCUCUCUUCCGUGCUCUCUCU
Molecule: long non-coding RNA, 1435 nt
Organism: Mirounga angustirostris (Northern elephant seal)
Lineage: Eukaryota; Metazoa; Chordata; Mammalia; Carnivora; Phocidae
Exons: 8
Source: RefSeq, a predicted model, not a curated record